RNAcentral lists this ribosomal RNA (410 nucleotides) under uncultured bacterium. Its description in RNAcentral is "bacterial SSU rRNA". It matches the Rfam family "Bacterial small subunit ribosomal RNA", at positions 355 to 775 of the family's 1533-position model. The record is from RNAcentral.
UAGGGAAUCUUGCGCAAUGGGCGAAAGCCUGACGCAGCGACGCCGCGUGAGGGAUGACGGCCUUCGGGUUGUAAACCUCUUUCAGCAGGGACGAAGCCUCACGGUGACGGUACCUGCAGAAGAAGCCCCGGCCAACUACGUGCCAGCAGCCGCGGUAAUACGUAGGGGGCAAGCGUUGUCCGGAUUUAUUGGGCGUAAAGAGCUCGUAGGCGGCCGUCCACGUCGGGUGUGAAAGCUCGGGGCUCAACCCUGAGAGGCCAUUCGAUACGGGACGGCUAGAGGCAGGUAGGGGAGAUUGGAAUUCCUGGUGUAGCGGUGAAAUGCGCAGAUAUCAGGAGGAACACCGGUGGCGAAGGCGGAUCUCUGGGCCUUGCCUGACGCUGAGGAGCGAAAGCUGGGGGAGCGAACAG